RNAcentral lists this ribosomal RNA (377 nucleotides) under uncultured bacterium. Its description in RNAcentral is "bacterial SSU rRNA". It matches the Rfam family "Bacterial small subunit ribosomal RNA", at positions 521 to 896 of the family's 1533-position model. The record is from RNAcentral.
UAAUACGAAAGGUGCAAGCGUUACUCGGAAUUACUGGGCGUAAAGCGCGCGUAGGUGGUCUUGUAUGUCGAUUGUGAAAGCCCAGGGCUCAACCCUGGAAUAGCAGCCGAAACUGCAAGACUUGAAUGUUGGAGAGGGUGGGGGAAUACCUAGUGGAGAAGUGAAAUUCGUAGAGAUUAGGUGGAACACCAGAGGCGAAGGCGCCUACCUGGCCAAACAUUGACGCUGAGGCGCGAAAGUGCGGGGAGCAAACAGGAUUAGAUACCCUGGUAGUCCGCACCGUAAACGAUGGACACUAGCCGUUCGAAGCAUUAACCCUUUGAGUGGCGAAGCUAACGCAUUAAGUGUCCCGCCUGGGAAGUACGGUCGCAAGACUA